AGUGGAGAAGUUUUAUCUCAUCGUUUCACAAGGCAGGUGAGAUUCAACUCCUCCAACUGC
This 60-nucleotide microRNA precursor is filed under the name Lingula anatina. RNAcentral's name for it is "Lan-Mir-1175_pre stem-loop". The record is from RNAcentral. Lineage: Eukaryota; Metazoa; Brachiopoda; Lingulata; Lingulida; Lingulidae.